This 253-nucleotide ribosomal RNA is filed under the name uncultured bacterium. Its description in RNAcentral is "partial 16S ribosomal RNA". It matches the Rfam family "Bacterial small subunit ribosomal RNA", at positions 524 to 776 of the family's 1533-position model. The record is from RNAcentral.
UACGGAGGGGGCAAGCGUUAUUCGGAAUUAUUGGGCGUAAAGGGCGCGUAGGCGGCUAGAUGUGUCAAAGGUGAAAUCCCUCGGCUCAACUGAGGAACUGCCUUUGAAACUGUCUGGCUUGAGGCCGGGAGAGGGUAGCGGAAUUCCCAGUGUAGCGGUGAAAUGCGUAGAUAUUGGGAAGAACACCGGUGGCGAAGGCGGCGACCUGGUCCGAUACUGACGCUGAGGCGCGAAAGCGUGGGGAGCAAACAGG